UACGGAGGGUGCAAGCGUUAUCCGGAUUCACUGGGUUUAAAGGGUGCGUAGGUUGAUUGGUAAGUCAGUGGUGAAAUACUCCGACUCAAUCGGAGAACUGCCGUUGAUACUAUCAAUCUUGAAUACGGUGGAGGCGGGCGGAAUGCGUCAUGUAGUGGUGAAAUACUUAGAUAUGACGCAGAACACCUAUUGCGAAGGCAGCUCGCUACACCGGCAUUGACACUGAGGCACGAAAGCGUGGGGAGCAAACAGG
This 253-nucleotide ribosomal RNA is filed under the name uncultured bacterium. RNAcentral's name for it is "partial 16S ribosomal RNA". It matches the Rfam family "Bacterial small subunit ribosomal RNA", at positions 524 to 776 of the family's 1533-position model. The record is from RNAcentral.